GCUUAUGUAUAUCCGUUUACUUAUUAUUGCUUCCUCACGCCUCCUUAUUUAGUGGAGAAAACCCAGCUUUCUUGGUAUGUAACUGGAAGGUAUGUGAUGGGGAAAAUGUGGCUGUUUAUAGCCCUCUGUGGCCUUGAACAUGUUACCAAAGUCAUUCAGGUUUCAGUUGCUUCUGUAUGAAGUGGGUCUUGUGAGUAAAAACAGAAAUACUACAUUUUUCAUUAAGCACCAUCACAUCAUCAGCUCCUCACAUAGGUGAAAGUUUUUCUUGUACCUUAUGGCUCAUUCUUUCAUUAUCAAAAACUUUUUCUAAUAGGAUUUUCUUAAAGCCACAGAGUGUUACAGCCAGAAGGGAGCUAACAACUGAAGAAAAGAACUUUUUCACUGUAAAGGUCCAUUCAAAUACAAAAGUCCUUACAAAUACCUGUAAGGAAAGACACAUCCAAAUCCCCAUGCUGCAUUUGGAGUCUGUUUUCUGUUUGUUCUGUUCUCAGUGGGGAGAACAGCUCAUUACUGUCCUAGGCAUGAGCCUUUGAUAUACUUGAAAACCACUGCAAGCUAACCCUAUAACCCUCUUGGCUCUAAACAGAAUUACCUUGGUUCCUUUAACCUCUUCUGAUCUUUAUUUUUCAGACCUCUAACAGCUCUGUGGCUUUUUUCUGAACUGACUCCACUUUCUCUCACCCCCAUUAAUUGCUGGUGUCAGAACUGGACUCAUGCUCAGAGAGGGUCUGUCCAGGUCUGCUUGGCUGAGCAGGGGAGAUGGGAGUAGAGAGGCAGGCAGUGGCCGCAGCAGCUUGUUAGAGGAUGAACGAGGUGGGGAAGAGGAGUAGGCAGCACGACAGUUAGAAUCAGACAUUUUCCCUGCCAUAUCAUUUCCAUUUCAGAGUUUCCCAAACAAGACCACACACAUUAGCAAACCACUUCCUUGAAAAGUGUUUAACAAGGCUUUGCCCAGUGUUCCUACAGGAAUUCAGAAAGCAGCCAAUUUUUGGUCCGGAGGGCAGGAUUUGUGUUGCAUACAUAAUUAGAAGUAUGUUUUAAUUAGCUCCUAAGAUUUUAAAAGUAAGAGAAUUCACCUAAGAAUUUUCCAGAUUUCUAGCUUCUUUCGUGUUCUGAAGGUUGGGAAUAUUAGGCCAGCUUGUCAGGCCUGGGACCAUUUGCUGAAGCUUAAGAGCAGCUCCCUCUGUUUAGACGGGAACUGACUGGUGUCCUUGUAAGAAAAGGAAGUGACACCAGAGAAGAUAUUCCCUCUCCACGUGGGUACAGAGGAUAGGCCAUGUGAGGACCCGGGGAGAAGGCAGCACCUAGAAUUGGGAAGAGAGGCUUCACUAAUAACCAGUCUUGAUGGACCUUGAUCUUGGAUUUUGUCUCCAGAACCAUGAGAAAGGGAAUUUCUAUUAUCUAAGCCUCCAAGUCUGUGGUAUUUUGUUACAACAGCGUCGGCAGACUAAUACACUUAUGUGCCUCACUGACUUUGUGCCUGGCUUCUGUGGGCAUUUGAGCUUGAGACCCCUGCUUCACAGGCAUGGGAGUUAAAAGAGUGAAUAUCACUUCCUAUACGUUGUGGACUGGUAGAGAAAGCUAAAUAGAGACAUAAUUUAUGCACAGGACAUAAUGUAAGAGAUGCACAAACUGAUACUGAAGGACAGAACUGUCAAUGGCUGAGAUGGAAGGGAGAAGAGCAGGAGUUUUUACUAUGGGGAGAGGGAAUGUUGGAAGAGUUUUAAGAGAUUCAGAAGAUUUCAACAAAUGGUGACAGAACAAAAGGCGGGAGCAAAGGCAUGCAGGCGUGAACACAGGUAGUAUCUUACAAGGCUUGGCUAGAGUUUGGGUGCCCUGCAGGUAGGGGGUGUGUGUGGCAGGAGAUAAGGCCACCAAAGGAAGAUAGAGUCAGGUCAUGAGCCCUGAAUGCCAUGCUGCUCUAGGAUUUGGUUUGAUUCUGGAGUAAAUGAGGAGCACCUGAGGGGAUGGAAGAGGGGGAACUGAGUGGAUGAAAAGUAGGAUCUAAUUAAUUAACUAAAUAUUUAUUGGGAACACCCAGUGUGCCAAGUGUUGCAAAUACAGUUGUGGACAAGACAGAACAAAGUCUUUGACCUCAUGGAACUGAGAGAAAAAAAAAACCCACUCAGAUAUUCAGCAGGAUGUCAGGGAGGGGUAAGUGCUAUAAAGAAAAGCAAGCGUGUCAGCGUAUUGGGUCAUAUGGUGUAGACGCAUGUGGUCAGCAAAGGCUUGGUAUUUGGGCAUAACCCUGAAUGAAUUGAGAGAAUGAAUCAUUUGGGGACUAUACUUCUAGACAGAGGGAACCACAUGUCCAAACGUACUGAGACAGGAGCACAAUUAUGUUCAGGGAACAACACAGAGGACCGUCUGGCAGGAAUAAGCAACAGGAAGAGUGGUGGGCAGUGAGAGUGAGGUGGUCAGGGCUCAGAUCUUUCUCCAGGAAGGGAACUCCAAUGCAGAGUGAAGGACUGCUCGGGGUCUAGGACUGCAGUGGGGAGACUGCUAGAUGCCUAUAGGAAUGUUGAGGCCCUGCGCCAGUGCAGGAGCAAUGGUGGAGGAAUUGUAGAGCCAUACACAGGAGAAGGCACCUUGUGGACAAGGUGAAGGAGAAGGACCAGUAGACAGAUGAAAUCCCCAAACAGAGCUGGCCUUGAGGAAGACAGGGCUCUGAGACAGGAUGAGAUGGGGGCACUCACCUCCUAAUCUAUGGAUUUGUCAUGUAUGAUGACAGCUGUCAGAGAAGGAGAACCAAAGUUCCUUCACUCCCAAAGUUCAGACCCUUGGUCUGUGACUGUUCCAAAGAAGAGUGAAGGCAGAGACAAAAGUCAUCGGUUUCCACAGCUCAGAAGCCAAGGCAGGCCCCACGGACCAUCAGGGAGAACACAAGAGUUCUUGCCCCAGUAGGUACAACAGCUCCAUCCCUUACCACUACAGGUCUGGCAAAUGUCCUCCUGGUUUGGUCUAAACGUAGAAUGAAAUGACUUGUUCUAACAAGUAGAAAUAAAAAGACCUGAAAGGCAGAGCAGAGGGAGAGGUUAAUGCAGUACAGAAUGUGGGUUGGCUCAGUAUAGUUUCUCUUUGGCAUUUUUUCUUUUAUUACUUAAACUUUGGUGAGGAGGAGGUAGUCUUUUGAGAACCAUAUAAAGCUCUGUCUCCAGAGUGCAUGGAACCCACAGCUCGGUCCAUGCCUUUGGCAUUCACCUCUACCAAGUUUUCACCCUUGGUAUUUUCCCUUUUCCUUCUUACUUGGCUGGGAGAAUUAUGAGCUCCUUAGGAAAGAAUGCUAGGCUUUCUCUGUUGCCCCUGCUGUGGGCAAAUGUUCAAAAAAGGCAUCAUUUAUGAAUAUCUGGGGUAAGAGCGCCCUCUUCGGGUACACCCUAUUGGUGUUUGGCUGCUAUUUCCCGGACCUCGCAAAGGCUUAAUCUUUUUUAUGACUUAGGUUGUCGAAGGAGAAGAGCAAAAAGUACUCUCGUUGGGAUAAAUUAAUUUCAUCCAAUGUUUCUAGAACAAUCCUAAUCCUUACUUGGCAUGGUUUCUGAAUCUUCUGACCCCACCUUUCUUUGGGAUUUACACUUAGCCUUUUGUUAACCCAAGAAAAAUAGGUGAAAAUGACAGCAAUUCAAAGCUUGGAGAGAGUGUUGAUAUAAUCACUUUUCUGCCUCCAUUUCUGUGAUAUUUAUUAAGUGUCUACUCAGUUUUUUGAAUGCUUGAAGGCCAGGCAUUCUCCUAGGUCUCUCAGGAUCUUAAAUGAAUAAGAUACAGUCCUUGCCACUGCUGAGCUUGGAGUAUGGUGGGGAAGAUGGAUGAACAAAUAGAAAAUUAUAUUACCGGGAGACAAAUACUGAAGUGUGAACAAUGAAGUAGGUGGUUAGAGGGGAAUGAAUUUGUUGGUUAUUUAAACCCAAAGGUGAAAAAAAUGACUUCCUCCUUGACCAAAUUAUUCCUCUUGACAGUCACAUCUCUCCUGUGCACUAGACCUCAAGAUUCUAAGAACAAGGGAGUUCCCUUGUGGUGCAGCAUGUUAAGGAUCCAGUGUUGUCACUGCAGAGACUCCUAUCACUGCUGUGAUGCAGAUUCGAUCCCUGGCCUGGGAACUUCCACAUUCUGCAAGUGUGGCCAGAACAACAUCAACAAAAAAAGAUUCUAUGAACAAGUCAUGGCAGAUUUAUUAUAUUUCUAUGUGACUAAUCCCACAAAGUGAUUUUAGACCUGAAAGGGAUGUAUAAAUAUAUAUUUCAGUGUUAUCAUAAUUUUCUUCCAUGUCCAAGGAAAAAGUUUUUCUCAUAACUUGAACAUCUGGAGAGAUUCUACAUCUCUAGUUUUAACUAAUUAAAUGCUGCUUUAGGUUGCAGAAUAUCAAUGCACAAUGAAAAAGAUUAUGUUUGGGUUCUGCUAGAAAUCAUAGUUUUGAUAGAAAUGACUUUCCCCCAUAUAAAAGGAAAGUUAUAUUUAAUGAGUUCUUCUGAAAAUCAUUCUUCACAAGGGAGAGGCUUGUCCCCCGCCCCCAUACACACAUAGUCUCUUUCACCCAUUGGCUGUAACCCAUAAUCUUGCACAUAAGGUGCCCUGACUCACCCAGUGUCCAAAUGACCCCUAACCUUUUGUUUUGUUUUAUUUGGAAAAUGUAUUAAUGCAUUUUCAUAUUUUUCCCCCUAUGCCCUGAACUUUUUACAUAAGAGAAGCUUUAAAUAAAACUGGGAGAAGGAGAUUAGGGGUUGGUAUGCAGAGAGAAAGAAAGAAUUUAUCGGUGAGCUCUCUCAGCUGUACAUUUAGGUAAAAGACGUUUUUAGUAUUUUGGGAUAUACAUCUCACCAGACAUAGAUGGUAUUAUUAUUUAAAGUAUUUAUUUUACUUUGUUUUUGACUACUAUUUAUGAUUCAUUUGGCAUUUGCAUCUUUGAGGUUUCUUUUUCAAUAUUGGUUUUAACUCUCAAUUGUGCACUAAAGAAACUGCUCUUGUCCCUUCAAGUGGAACUGAUAAGCUUUCUGUCUCAUGGGUCAGCCACCUCUAGGACUCCAGUCUUGGUUCACUUUGUCUCCAUUGCUUAGACUGUGCCUCGUCCAGAAAUGUCUUCUAAACACAAUAAUUCAGAUAUUGGGGAAAUACCGCCAAUCCAAGGACCUUAGACUACACCUAAUAAACAAUGAUUUAGGCACCGUCAUGCUGAUUUGAAUCAAAUAGACUUGGAGGAACUCAGGGU
This 5203-nucleotide long non-coding RNA is filed under the name Sus scrofa (pig). RNAcentral's name for it is "lncRNA (ENSSSCG00055021700.1)". The record is from RNAcentral. Lineage: Eukaryota; Metazoa; Chordata; Mammalia; Artiodactyla; Suidae.